UGGGGAAUAUUGCACAAUGGGGGAAACCUUGAUGCAGCGACGCCGCGUGAACGAAGAAGGUAUUCGUAUCGUAAAGUUCUGUCCUAUGGGAAGAUAAUGACAGUACCAUAGAAGAAAGCUCCGGCUAAAUACGUGCCAGCAGCCGCGGUAAUACGUAUGGAGCGAGCGUCGUCCGGACUUAUUGGGCGUAAAGGGUACGCAGGCGGUUUAAUAAGUCGAAUGUUAAAGAUCGGGGCUCAACCCCGUAAAGCAUUGGAAACUGAUAAACUUGAGUAGUGGAGAAGAAAGUGGAAUUCCUAGUGUAGUGAUGAAAUACGUAGAUAUUAGGAGGGAUACCAGUAGCGAAGGCGACUUUCUGGACACAAACUGACGCUGAGGUACGAAAGCGUGGGGAGCAAACAGG
This 403-nucleotide ribosomal RNA is filed under the name bacterium. Its description in RNAcentral is "partial 16S ribosomal RNA". It matches the Rfam family "Bacterial small subunit ribosomal RNA", at positions 355 to 776 of the family's 1533-position model. The record is from RNAcentral.